Molecule: ribosomal RNA, 253 nt
Filed under: uncultured bacterium
Lineage: Bacteria
Description: partial 16S ribosomal RNA
Rfam family: Bacterial small subunit ribosomal RNA
Source: RNAcentral
UACAGAGGUCCCAAGCGUUGUUCGGAUUCACUGGGCGUAAAGGGUGCGUAGGCGGCCGGAUCAGUCUGAUGUGAAAUCUCGGAGCCCAACUCCGAAACGGCAUUGGAUACUAUUCGGCUAGAGGUUGGGAGGGGGGACUGGAAUUCUCGGUGUAGCAGUGAAAUGCGUAGAUAUCGAGAGGAACACCAGCGGCGAAGGCGAGUCCCUGGACCAAUCCUGACGCUGAGGCACGAAAGCCAGGGGAGCAAACGGG